AGCGAACGCUGGCGGCAGGCCUAACACAUGCCAGUCGAACGAACCUUUCGGGGUUAGUGGCGGACGGGUGAGUAACACGUGGGAACGUGCCUUUAGGUUCGGAAUAACUCAGGGAAACUUGUUCUAAUACCGAAUGUGCCCUUCGUGGGAAAGAUUAAUCGCCUUUAGAGCGGCCCGCGUCUGAUUAGCUAGUUGGUUGAGGUAAUGGCUCACCAAGGCGACGAUCAGUAGCUGGUCUGAGAGGAUGAUCAGCCACAUUGGGACUGAGACACGGCCCAAACUCCUACGGGAGGCAGCAGUGGGGAAUCUUGCGCAAUGGGCGAAAGCCUGACGCAGCCAUGCCGCGUGAAUGAUGAAGGUCUUAGGAUUGUAAAAUUCUUUCACCGGGGACGAUAAUGACGGUACCCGGAGAAGAAGCCCCGGCUAACUUCGUG
RNAcentral lists this ribosomal RNA (434 nucleotides) under uncultured bacterium. RNAcentral describes it as "partial 16S ribosomal RNA". It matches the Rfam family "Bacterial small subunit ribosomal RNA", at positions 29 to 507 of the family's 1533-position model. The record is from RNAcentral.